RNAcentral lists this ribosomal RNA (253 nucleotides) under uncultured bacterium. RNAcentral's name for it is "partial 16S ribosomal RNA". It matches the Rfam family "Bacterial small subunit ribosomal RNA", at positions 524 to 776 of the family's 1533-position model. The record is from RNAcentral.
UACGGGGGGGGCAAGCGUUGUUCGGAAUUACUGGGCGUAAAGCGCGUGUAGGCGGUCCGGUAAGUCCGCUGUGAAAGUCGGGGGCUUAACCCUCGGAUGCCGGUGGAUACUGUCGGGCUUGAGUACGGAAGAGGCGAGUGGAAUUCCUGGUGUAGCGGUGAAAUGCGCAGAUAUCAGGAGGAACACCAAUUGUGAAGGCAGCUCGCUGGGACGUUACUGACGCUGAGACGCGAAAGCGUGGGGAGCAAACAGG